Monodelphis domestica (gray short-tailed opossum) is the source of this 1872-nucleotide long non-coding RNA. NCBI's taxonomy places the organism in Eukaryota, Metazoa, Chordata, Mammalia, Didelphimorphia, Didelphidae. The record is from Ensembl.
CAAGACUGUGUUUGCUCACAACGAGUACAUUCUGUUGCAUUUUCUUCCACGUUGUUCACCUUUCGUGGUUAAAGUAGAAAUCUCCUUUUGCUUUAAUUACAGUAGAACUGAAAGGACAUUGGUACGGUGAAGAUAACAGAAGAAAAGAGGUUUAGUUCUAAAGCUAAAUGUUCUAGCAUGGAUGACGUCUGUGACCUCUGAUCCAAGGUUCCUUUGGAAACCCGCCUGCGCUGUGUGCUGGUAAUUAAUUCCACGAUAGUUGUUCAACAUUGUGAGAUGAAAUAUCGUUAUCUAUCUCACUUAUUUUUGUCUCCCGGAUCUAUUUUGGGAAGCAGAUUCUUAGAUCAGCAAUUAGAAAUGUCACUUGCAUUUUCUUUAUGAUUUGCAAAGUGUAUAAUUGAGAAUAGUAAUCAAAUUCUUUGACAACUUCAGCAGUACAAAAAUGGCAAUUAAUUGUAAAUUUUGGAAGGCAUGGAUAAUAUUUGUCUAUUUUAGAACAUCUUGCUGAUCAGCAACAAACCUCUCUCUCUCUCUCUCUCUCUCUCUCUCUCUCUCUCUCUCUCUCUCUCUCUCUCUCUCUCUCUCUCUCUCUCUCUCUCUCUCUCUCUCUCUCUCUCUCUCUCUCUCUCUCUCUCUCUCUCUCUCUCUCUCUCUCUCUCUCUCCAAGAUCUGGUCCAAGUUGGCACUUCAAGCAUGAAGUCUUCCCUGAUACCUCCUCUUCAUGAAAGUUCUUUCUCCCUCCUCAGAUUUUCUCCUAACAUGUUAUGUCUCUCUACCCAUCUGCCCUAUAUUAUCUUUAUCUGUGACCCUGUAGAUGGUAAAUUUCUUAAGGGCAAGAGUUGUGCUUUUAUUUCAUUGUGGUCUUGAACAUAGCACUGAGUACAUGGUCUGCCUUUUCUUUAAUUGUUUAAUUGAAUCAUAUUAAUUAACUCAGCCAAGCUUAAAUUCAGAGUAAGAGGCAGAAGGAAUCCCAUGUUUCAUACUUUGUCAACUAUAUAAUCAUGUUCCAAACAACUCUUGAAUUUUGCCAGUGUGAAAAUGUCCUCUUCUUUGUCCUGGGAGAUCUAUAUUCACAUCAGUUUUAGAGAAAAUGUCACUUCUUUAAUUUUCAAAAUGAACUUUGAUUUCUCUUUUAUUUUAGUUGCUCAUACCUUGGUCCCAGGUCCCCCAUGAAACAUAGUGUACCAGGUACAGACUUUGAAAUAGUGGUGACACUGGGAGCUGAUGUUGAUAUAGCUAGUGGCUUAUAGCCUUCCCAGGCUUCUGCAGCCUUAGUCAGACCACAUUUGUUCAACUUUCCAAUUUUGAGACCUUCCUCAGUGCCUCCCAUUAUUUGUUCUAAUGAGGCACUUACUCUUCCUACUCACCUUACUUAGACCAUCAUAAUCCAGACAAAGCUCAACCUCUUUGUCAACAUUCAAGAUCCUCCACAGUUAGGAACUACCCUACGACCCAGACUUAUCACCCAUUAUUGCUCUUCCAUGUAUGUCACAAUACAGGAAACUAGACUGCUGGCGAUUUCUGAUCUCCGCCUGAAUUCAUCUUCUUCUAGGUCUGUUUAUACUCUGUUUUAAAAAAAUCCUUUUCUUCCUUUUUCGUUACCUGUGGGCUUCCUCCCUAUUCUUUAAAGUUUAAGUCAGAUGUUACUUCCUCCAGGAAGCCUACUUUAAUCACUUUCUGUGUCUCUCUUCAAGGUGCUUAUCCUAUAACAUUGAAUCUUGUGGCAACUCAUCAUUGUCCCAUCUUGUAUUCUGAGUUCCAAGAGAGCCUUAUAGAAAUUCUUACUGCCCCUCCCCCCCCCGGUACUUAGCAGAAGCUCUGUAUACAGCAGGUGCUUAAUAAAUGUUUGAAUGAUCAAUUAUCUUAUGUUCA